This 498-nucleotide ribosomal RNA is filed under the name uncultured bacterium. RNAcentral's name for it is "partial 16S ribosomal RNA". It matches the Rfam family "Bacterial small subunit ribosomal RNA", at positions 30 to 523 of the family's 1533-position model. The record is from RNAcentral.
AUUGAACGCUGGCGGCAUGCCUUACACAUGCAAGUCGAACGGUAACAGGUCUUCGGAUGCUGACGAGUGGCGAACGGGUGAGUAAUACAUCGGAACGUGCCUAGUAGUGGGGGAUAACUACUCGAAAGAGUGGCUAAUACCGCAUGAGAUCUACGGAUGAAAGCAGGGGAUCGCAAGACCUUGUGCUACUAGAGCGGCCGAUGGCAGAUUAGGUAGUUGGUGGGAUAAAAGCUUACCAAGUCGACGAUCUGUAGCUGGUCUGAGAGGACGAUCGGCCACACUGGGACUGAGACACGGCCCAGACUCCUACGGGAGGCAGCAGUGGGGAAUGUUGGACAAUGGGCGAAAGCCUGAUCCAGCAAUGCCGCGUGCAGGAUGAAGGCCUUCGGGUUGUAAACUGCUUUUGUACGGAACGAAAAGCCCCGGGUUAAUACCCUGGGGUCAUGACGGUACCGUAAGAAUAAGCACCGGCUAACUACGUGCCAGCAGCCGCGGUAA